Molecule: ribosomal RNA, 487 nt
Filed under: uncultured bacterium
Lineage: Bacteria
Description: partial 16S ribosomal RNA
Rfam family: Bacterial small subunit ribosomal RNA
Source: RNAcentral
ACUCAAAGGAAUUGACGGGGACCCGCACAAGCGGUGGAGCGUGUGGUUUAAUCCGAUGGUACGCGUAGAACCUUACCAAGGCUUGACAUCUCGGUUUUACCCCAUGGAAACAUGGGGGUCAGUUCGGCUGGGCCGAAGACAGGUGUUGCAUGGCCGUCGUCAGCUCGUGUCGUGAGAUGUAGGGUUAAGUCCCUUAACGAGCGCAACCCUUGUCGCAAGUUGAAUUUAUCUUGCGAGACUGCCCCGGUAACGGGGAUGAAGGAGAGGAUGAUGCCUGGUCGUCAUUGCCCUUACGCCUUGGGCCACACACACGCUACAAUGGCCGGUACAACGGGUUGCUAAGCCGCGAGGUGGAGCUAAUCCCAUCAAAACCGGUCUCAGUUCGGAUUGGAGGCUGAAACUCGCCUCCAUGAAGCCGGAAUCGCUAGUAACCGUAGGUCAGCACACCACGGUGAAUACGUUCCCGGGUCUUGUACACACCGCCCGU